This 542-nucleotide ribosomal RNA is filed under the name uncultured archaeon. RNAcentral's name for it is "bacterial SSU rRNA". It matches the Rfam family "Archaeal small subunit ribosomal RNA", at positions 276 to 822 of the family's 1478-position model. The record is from RNAcentral.
GUGAGAGCAAGAGCCCGGAGAUGGAUUCUGAGACACGAAUCCAGGCCCUACGGGGCGCAGCAGGCGCGAAAACUUUACAAUGCGAGAAAUCGUGAUAAGGGAACCCCGAGUGCCCGUAAAUUCGGGCUGUCCGCCAGUGUAAAUAACUGGUGAAGAAAGGGCCGGGCAAGACCGGUGCCAGCCGCCGCGGUAAUACCGGCGGCUCGAGUGGUGGCCACUAUUACUGGGCUUAAAGCGUCCGUAGCUGGAUUGUUAAGUCUCUUGGGAAAUCCACCGGCUCAACCGAUGGGCGUUCAGGAGAAACUGGCAAUCUAGGGACCGGGAGAGGUGAGAGGUACUCCAGGGGUAGGAGUGAAAUCCUGUAAUCCUUGGGGGACCACCUGUGGCGAAGGCGUCUCACUAGAACGGCUCCGACAGUGAGGGACGAAAGCUGGGGGAGCAAACCGGAUUAGAUACCCGGGUAGUCCCAGCUGUAAACGAUGCGCGUUAGGUGUAUCGGUGACCACGAGUCAUCGAGGUGCCGAAGGGAAACCGUGAAACGU